Molecule: ribosomal RNA, 329 nt
Filed under: uncultured bacterium
Lineage: Bacteria
Description: bacterial SSU rRNA
Rfam family: Bacterial small subunit ribosomal RNA
Source: RNAcentral
GGGCCCGCACAAGCGGUGGAGUAUGUGGUUUAAUUCGAUGCAACGCGAAGAACCUUACCAGGGUUUGACAUCCUGCGAAUCUCUUGGAAACGAGAGAGUGCCUUCGGGAGCGCAGUGACAGGUGGUGCAUGGCUGUCGUCAGCUCGUGUCGUGAGAUGUUGGGUUAAGUCCCGCAACGAGCGCAACCCACAUCCCUAGUUGCCAGCAGUUUGGCUGGGCACCUAUGGAAACUGCCCGUGAUAAGCGGGAGGAAGGUGUGGAUGACGUCAAGUCCUCAUGGCCCUUACGGGUUGGGCUACACACGUGCUACAAUGGUAGUGACAAUGGGU